UACGUAGGGACCAAGCGUUGUUCGGAUUUACUGGGCGUAAAGGGCGCGUAGGCGGCGUGUUAAGUCACUUGUGAAAUCUCUAAGCUUAACUUAGAACGAUCAAGUGAUACUGAUGUGCUAGAGUGCAGAAGGGGCAACCGGAAUUCUUGGUGUAGCGGUGAAAUGCGUAGAUAUCAAGAGGAACACCUGAGGUGAAGACGGGUUGCUGGGCUGACACUGACGCUGAGGCGCGAAAGCUAGGGUAGCAAACGGG
RNAcentral lists this ribosomal RNA (253 nucleotides) under uncultured bacterium. RNAcentral's name for it is "partial 16S ribosomal RNA". It matches the Rfam family "Bacterial small subunit ribosomal RNA", at positions 524 to 776 of the family's 1533-position model. The record is from RNAcentral.